UACGUAGGGUCCGAGCGUUGUCCGGAAUUACUGGGCGUAAGAGCUCGUAGGUGGUUUGUCGCGUUGUUCGUGAAAACUCACAGCUCAACUGUGGGCGUGCGGGCGAUACGGGCAGACUAGAGUACUGCAGGGGAGACUGGAAUUCCUGGUGUAGCGGUGGAAUGCGCAGAUAUCAGGAGGAACACCGGUGGCGAAGGCGGGUCUCUGGGCAGUAACUGACGCUGGAGGAGCGAAAGCGUGGGGAGCGAACAGG
This 253-nucleotide ribosomal RNA is filed under the name uncultured bacterium. RNAcentral describes it as "partial 16S ribosomal RNA". It matches the Rfam family "Bacterial small subunit ribosomal RNA", at positions 524 to 776 of the family's 1533-position model. The record is from RNAcentral.